CAGAACGACUCUCGGCAACGGAUAUCUCGGCUCUCGCAUCGAUGAAGAACGUAGCGAAAUGCGAUACGUGGUGUGAAUUGCAGAAUCCCGUGAACCAUCGAGUUUUUGAACGCAAGUUGCGCCCAAAGCCUUUUGGUUGAGGGCACGUCUGCCUGGG
Molecule: ribosomal RNA, 157 nt
Filed under: Garcinia verrucosa
Lineage: Eukaryota; Viridiplantae; Streptophyta; Magnoliopsida; Malpighiales; Clusiaceae
Description: 5.8S ribosomal RNA
Rfam family: 5.8S ribosomal RNA
About the family: 5.8S ribosomal RNA (5.8S rRNA) is a component of the large subunit of the eukaryotic ribosome. It is transcribed by RNA polymerase I as part of the 45S precursor that also contains 18S and 28S rRNA.
Source: RNAcentral